This 468-nucleotide ribosomal RNA is filed under the name uncultured bacterium. RNAcentral's name for it is "partial 16S ribosomal RNA". It matches the Rfam family "Bacterial small subunit ribosomal RNA", at positions 28 to 507 of the family's 1533-position model. The record is from RNAcentral.
GACGAACGCUGGCGGCGUGCUUAACACAUGCAAGUCGAACGGACCGGCCCUGCUUUUGUGGGGUGCUCGAUUGGCGAACGGGUGCAUAACAUGUGAGUAAUCUUCCUUUGACUUUGGGUUAAUUCUAGGAAACUGGGGCUAAUACCUGAUAUGACCUCCUGCUGCACGGUGGUGGUUCGAAUGUUUCGGUGGUGGGGGAUGGACUCGCAGCCUUGCAGCUUGUUGGUGGGGUAAUGACUCACCAAGGAUUUGUCUAGUAGCCGGCCUGAUGGGGUGACAGGCCGCAUGGCGACAGAGAUACGGCCCAGACUCCUACGGAAGGCAGCAGUGCAGAAUAUUGCACAAUGGGCGGAAGCCUGAUGCAGCAACGCCGCGUGCGGGAUGACGGCCUUCGGAUCGUAAACCGUUUUCGCCUGUGACGAAGCGUGAGUGACGGUAAUGGGUAAAGAAGCACCGACUAACUACGUG